This 989-nucleotide ribosomal RNA is filed under the name Flavobacterium sp. Its description in RNAcentral is "bacterial SSU rRNA". It matches the Rfam family "Bacterial small subunit ribosomal RNA", at positions 56 to 1053 of the family's 1533-position model. Lineage: Bacteria; Pseudomonadati; Bacteroidota; Flavobacteriia; Flavobacteriales; Flavobacteriaceae. The record is from RNAcentral.
UGCAAGUCGAGGGGUAGAGGCCUUCGGGCCUUGAGACCGGCGCACGGGUGCGUAACGCGUAUGCAAUCUGCCUUCCACAGAGGGAUAGCCCAGAGAAAUUUGGAUUAAUACCUCAUAGCAUCAUGACCCGGCAUCGGGAUAUGAUUAAAGUCACAACGGUGGAAGAUGAGCAUGCGUCCCAUUAGCUAGUUGGUAAGGUAACGGCUUACCAAGGCUACGAUGGGUAGGGGUCCUGAGAGGGAGAUCCCCCACACUGGUACUGAGACACGGACCAGACUCCUACGGGAGGCAGCAGUGAGGAAUAUUGGUCAAUGGGCGCAAGCCUGAACCAGCCAUGCCGCGUGCAGGAUGACGGUCCUAUGGAUUGUAAACUGCUUUUGUACGGGAAGAAACCCUCCUACGUGUAGGAGCUUGACGGUACCGUAAGAAUAAGGAUCGGCUAACUCCGUGCCAGCAGCCGCGGUAAUACGGAGGAUCCAAGCGUUAUCCGGAAUCAUUGGGUUUAAAGGGUCUGUAGGCGGUCUUGUAAGUCAGUGGUGAAAGCCCAUCGCUCAACGGUGGAACGGCCAUUGAUACUGCUGGACUUGAAUUAUUGGGAAGCAACUAGAAUAUGUAGUGUAGCGGUGAAAUGCUUAGAGAUUACAUGGAAUACCAAUUGCGAAGGCAGGUUGCUACCAAUGGAUUGACGCUGAUGGACGAAAGCGUGGGUAGCGAACAGGAUUAGAUACCCUGGUAGUCCACGCCGUAAACGAUGGAUACUAGCUGUUGGGCGCAAGUUCAGUGGCUAAGCGAAAGUGAUAAGUAUCCCACCUGGGGAGUACGAACGCAAGUUUGAAACUCAAAGGAAUUGACGGGGGCCCGCACAAGCGGUGGAGCAUGUGGUUUAAUUCGAUGAUACGCGAGGAACCUUACCAAGGCUUAAAUGCAGACUGACCGGUUUGGAAACAGACCUUUCGCAAGACGGUCUACAAGGUGCUUGCAUGGUUGUC